GCCCUCUUCAACGCUGCGUUUCCAUGCUACAAACAGAGACAAUAGUUCCCCCCUUCACCGAGGACUCUCUUGUCUCAACCUCGCAUGUGGGAAAUUCGGAGAAUGCUUCAAACCCCCAACAUCCCUCCCUCUCGCUCCCGGCGAUGCACAGGUCUGCUAGUGAUGGCCUGGCGUCACUCGACGUCUGCGGUUUCAGGCAUCAGAAAUCUCAGAGCCCCGGCCGGGGAGCCCCAUGUUCCCCGCGACCGGGUGUUUCCUCUAUGGGAAGCCGCCGCGAAGCUUGUUGGUCAACUUGAGUGCAAUACGCGGCGUGUCGUCUUCUCUCGUCUUCUAGGCUGGGAGAGGGCGGCAUAACUCAAUUCCGGUCAUUCUCUAGAGGGC
This 381-nucleotide RNase P RNA is filed under the name Hapsidospora chrysogenum ATCC 11550. RNAcentral's name for it is "Acremonium chrysogenum ATCC 11550 Nuclear RNase P". It matches the Rfam family "Nuclear RNase P". From Rfam's summary of the family: Ribonuclease P (RNase P) is a ubiquitous endoribonuclease, found in archaea, bacteria and eukarya as well as chloroplasts and mitochondria. Its best characterised activity is the generation of mature 5'-ends of tRNAs by cleaving the 5'-leader elements of precursor-tRNAs. The record is from Rfam by way of RNAcentral. Lineage: Eukaryota; Fungi; Ascomycota; Sordariomycetes; Hypocreales; Bionectriaceae.